Molecule: long non-coding RNA, 1485 nt
Organism: Canis lupus familiaris (dog)
Lineage: Eukaryota; Metazoa; Chordata; Mammalia; Carnivora; Canidae
Exons: 7
Source: RefSeq, a predicted model, not a curated record
GCGUCGGGCGUCGGGCGUCGGGCUCGGAGGCCCCUGCCCAAGCGCCCCUUGUCUGGGAACCGGCCCUUUUCUAACAAGCCGUUCUUGAAUGAGUUUUCACGGCACCAGCUCUCGUCGGUUGACUUUCCCCUAGAGCAGCGGUGUCUCCUUUGAUCAAUUCAUUCUUUUAAGAUGUCGUUUAUCCAUUCAUGAGACACGGACGGAGGCAGAGACGGGCCGACGGAGGGGCAGGCCCCGCGGGCAGCGCGCUGCGGGCGCGGGCGGGGACGGGACCCUCCGCGGAGCCGCCGGGCCUUGCUGUUGAGGCUUCUCUGCCCCGCACUCGUGGUUCAGCGGACUCCACCCUCCCUCGCUUCUUGCGAAAGAAGACAGAAAUAGCUGACUCCCUCAUACUCUUCUGUAGUACAAAGGAUUUGGGGAAUGCCCCCUUUCUCAGGCAGGAACACUCAAGCCAGAGAAAGGGAACGAAGUUGACGUCUCCAGUUCUAAGUUCUAUUUGCAAAUUCAGAUACUUGCGUGUUGUCAUUUAGUACAAACAUCUGGAGGCAACCCAGAGAGUAGUGUAGAACUAGGAUAUAUGAAAGCGUGAACAGAGAUGAGUCAAGGCUGCAUUUAAGGCAAGGAUGACUCAGGAUAACGUGGAGAGCCAGCAGAGACCACAGAUGGCUGAGGGGCCAGAGAAGAGAGUCAAGGGAGGGAACAGCCCUUUGGGAGGAAGGCAGCAGAGAAGUUUCAAAGAGAAGAGAAAUUACGGAAGUCCUGGGACACUCAGGUCAGCAUUCACAUCUUUAUUAGUGCUAGGCCAACGGGAGCAGUAAAAUAUAGAUGCAGUUGCUCACCAGACGCUUCACAGCCUCGUGAAAAGCUCAAGAGAUUUACUCAUGGCCCAAGUGCACCCGAAAGAAUUGCUUUCAAGGGACACCACAGCUGAAGACUGAAGAGUAAUAUUUAUCAACGUUAAACGACACUUGGUGAAGUAUGCAUAAAUAUUUCUUCAUAUAAACAGAGCACGAAAUUAAAUAGUUCAGAAACACAAACAGCACUGAGUCCACAUCCACUGUCGUCAGCUGUAAACACCAGCUCACACUGAACACAAAAGCAGCUGCUACCCUGGCCCUGGGUCCGAGACGUGAGGCUCUGUACAAGAAACGGAAGGAAAUCAACCAGAAGCAAUACUUUUCAAAACAUUCAUAUUUUCUCCAGAGGACACACGAGUUCCCAAACCCCACCUAUGCCUGGGUGAAGGUGACACAACAAACCCUGAACAGCACUGGCCAUGGCCAAGCAACACAGGCCGAACCCUCUUCCAUCUAGAAGGUGCCCGGUAGCAAGAACGCAAAGACCACGCUCUCCUCCCCUCCUCACGAUGUCACUUCUGCUCGGCCAUAUGUAUUGCUGGGUGUGACACUAUUGACUGGCUUUCAAGCAGUUUGGGUAGCAGAAAUUUUGUUGGGAAACAUUCAAACAUAGAUGAUUGAAUUCAAA